Molecule: non-coding RNA, 518 nt
Organism: Microcebus murinus (gray mouse lemur)
Lineage: Eukaryota; Metazoa; Chordata; Mammalia; Primates; Cheirogaleidae
Source: the annotation of a RefSeq genome assembly
UGAUACAAGUAGCUCUUGUGGCUGGAGAUUGCAGGUCUGUGACUGCUGCUAAUUAGGAAGAAUAAUGAUGACAUCUAUUCAAGUUCUAUUUAUGUUCUUGUGGCUGCAGCUUGACUGUGUAAGAGGAGGAGAGAAUGUGGGGCUGCACUCUCCUACCCUGAGUGUCCAGGAAGGAGACACCUCUGUUAUCAACUGUUCUUAUUCAAACAGUAACUCAGACUACUUCCCUUGGUAUAAGCAAGAGCUUGGAAAAGGUCCUCAAUUCAUCAUAGAUAUUCGUUCAAAUAGGGACGAAAAGGAAGAUCAAAGAUUCACUGUUUUAUUGAAUAAGACGGCCAAACAUCUCUCCCUGCACAUUGCCGGCACCCAACCUGGAGACUCAGCUGUCUACUUCUGUGCAGAGAGUGCACAUUGCUUCCCAGGCACCUGUAACCUAUACCCAAACCUGAGGCUGUAGCUGAAGCCACACUCCCUUUCCUUUGGCAUAGGCCAUCAAUUCACAUCAUGUAAAAUGAACA